AUUGAGUUCGCUACAAUCCUUCUGCUCAACUGACAUAAUACAAAGGGAAAAAACAAAAAUGUAGUAGAAAUCAUUCUUCUUAACCUGGCAAACAAAAAUACCAAGUAAAUAUCUUUCCCAUUUCUACAAGAGCCAUACGUUGCGUGGAAUUAGGGGCUCCUAUCCAAGUGCUUACUUCGUAUCAAAGGCGUUUGAUAAUUUGCCUGAGAGAUAACAUGAAUGUUCUGAGCAGCCAAGCUGCAGGCGGAGCAGCAGUGGCGACAGUAUCCUGUACCCAUCGCUGUUCCCUUCAAUUUACAAAUCCAGUUCCUCCUCUUUUCUCCAAUCGCAGACCACCCAAAUUCCCACCCACUAAUACUCAUAAUUUCCCCAGACGCCGCACUGUUGCCAAUGCUGAAUCCACCACAAGCCGCCCCUCUGCUACUCCUACUGGCCCUUCCACUCCCCCCAAUUCCGCCAAAGAGGAUGUUCCCAUCACUUUGGUGGGCGAACAGGAUGUUCCUCUAGAGGGUGUCAUUCAAUUCGAAAAGCCCACUUCUUCCCCUUCUACCCUCAUUUCUAAAUGGGGGUGGGUGGCUUUGUUGGCCGGUGGGGAUGCGUUGGCAUUGCUCUUGUUCUCAGCAAUUGGAAGGUUUAGUCAUGGCUUUGACGUUUUUGACCUCGAAACGUUGAAGACUGCGGACCCGUUUAUGGCUGGGUGGUUCUUGAGUGCUUAUUUCCUUGGAGGAUAUGGGGAAGAUGGUCGAGGCAUGAAUGGCCGGUCUCAAGCUAUAACUGUAGCUGCCAAGUCUUGGGCUUUGGGCAUUCCGUCUACCCGUUCUCUUUGGAAUGGGAAUCCUCUCCUCAAGUUGAAGACGCAUACAAAGUUGAAUAAGUCCUUCCAAAAUUUAGGCUGCACCUCAAGGACAGCAAAGGCCAGACAUGAAACCAAGAGCAGAAUGACCAUUAGCUGGGCUUGAUAAUAAGAGCAGCAACAGUCAGGCAUAUUCCGCCAAUCAACUUUAUCUUAGUAACCAUGGGAAGUACUGCUGUGUUACUAAUUGGAUGGAGAGCACUGUUGUUUAGCAUAUUCUAUCCUGACAAAAGCAAGAAGAAUGAUGUCUAUAGACGGGGGAGCCCUUUUGAACUGUUUGAGUUGCUCACGUCAUUGGUGAGAAGGUGGUAGAUCAGGUAGUGACUUCCUACAAGUUUGUACAUGCAUUUCCUCUUUUUAUGUAAGAAGUGACAUUUCAGAAGCAAUCACAGUUUUGUUUAAGAUGUUCGUUACCUGUAUGUAUAGAAUUUCUACCACUUGAAGAAGAGCUUGUUUUCAAUAAUAUUAUUAAACAUGUAGCAAAGAAAGUCCUUAAUGAAGAAUGAAGCCCUUGUAAUGCUUUUCCACAUGCUCCUCAUCUUCUAAAUAUAUCCUGCAAUCCAAGGACUCA
Coffea arabica (coffee) is the source of this 1424-nucleotide non-coding RNA. The record is from RefSeq and is a predicted model, not a curated record. NCBI's taxonomy places the organism in Eukaryota, Viridiplantae, Streptophyta, Magnoliopsida, Gentianales, Rubiaceae.